RNAcentral lists this ribosomal RNA (459 nucleotides) under Steinernema sp. YNa206. RNAcentral describes it as "partial 28S ribosomal RNA". It matches the Rfam family "Eukaryotic large subunit ribosomal RNA", at positions 358 to 821 of the family's 3401-position model. Lineage: Eukaryota; Metazoa; Nematoda; Chromadorea; Rhabditida; Steinernematidae. The record is from RNAcentral.
GGAAAGUUGCAAAGUACUUUGAAGAGAGAGUUCAAGAGGACGUGAAACCGGUAGGAUGGAAGCAGAUGAAGUUGACGAACGUGUGUCGUAUUCAGAAUCGCUGUCAGCGGUUUGUUUUUACGGCCGAUGUGGGCCGGCGGCUUUGGUCAAUGCAACGCGUCUAGCGUCGAUGGAGACCCUGCGGAGGGAUAAUCGGUCGGCGUACGGUGCUUGGUAUGGCUAAGGUUUCGCCGGUCUUAAAGUCAGCGCCUCAUCUGACCCGUCUUGAAACACGGACCAAGGAGUGUAGCGUUUGCGCAAGUCUUAGGGUGUGUCGAAACUUUGAGGCGUAACGAAAGUAAAUGCAGUUUAACCUGCUGACUUGGGAUGCGUUGUCUCCUGUGGACGGCGCUGGACCAUGGUUUUAUCGCGAUCGCUUGCGAUGCGGUGAAAAUAGAGCGUAAACGGUGCGACCCGAAA